CAAGUCGAACGCGAAAGCCUCCUUCGGGGGGCAAGUAGAGUGGCGCACGGGUGAGUAACACGUAGGUAAUCUACCUUUGGAUUGGGAAUAACAACCGGAAACGGUUGCUAAUACCGAAUAAUGCAGCGGCACCUAAUGGUGACAGUUGUUAAAGCGGGGGAUCGCAAGACCUCGCGUCUGAAGAGGAGCCUGCGGCAGAUUAGCUAGUUGGUAAGGUAACGGCUUACCAAGGCGAUGAUCUGUAGCCGGCCUGAGAGGGCGGUCGGCCACACUGACACUGACAUACGGGUCAGACUCCUACGGGAGGCAGCAGUCGGGAAUUUUGGGCAAUGGGCGAAAGCCUGACCCAGCAACGCCGCGUGAAGGAUGAAAUCCUUCGGGAUGUAAACUUCGCAAGAACGGGAAGAAUAAGUAAGAGUUAAUAUCUCUUACGAUGACGGUACUGUUUGUAAGCUCCGGCUAACUCCGUGCCAGCAGCCGCGGUAAUACGGGGGGAGCAAGCGUUGUUCGGAUUUACUGGGCGUAAAGGGCGCGUAGGCGGCCACCGCAAGUCGACUGUGAAAUCUCCGGGCUUAACCCGGAAAGGUCAGCCGAUACUGCGGGGCUAGAGUGCAGAAGGGGCAACUGGAAUUCUCGGUGUAGCGGUGAAAUGCGUAGAUAUCGAGAGGAACACCUGCGGCGAAGGCGGGUUGCUGGGCUGACACUGACGCUGAUGCGCGAAAGCUAGGGGAGCGAACGGGAUUAGAUACCCCGGUAGUCCUAGCCUUAAACGAUGAAUGCUUGGUGUCUGGGGUUUUAUAGUCCCCGGGUGCCGUCGCUAACGCUUUAAGCAUUCCGCC
Molecule: ribosomal RNA, 839 nt
Filed under: uncultured Actinomycetes bacterium
Lineage: Bacteria; Bacillati; Actinomycetota; Actinomycetes
Description: bacterial SSU rRNA
Rfam family: Bacterial small subunit ribosomal RNA
Source: RNAcentral